GAUGAACGCUAGCGGCAGGCUUAACACAUGCAAGUCGAGGGGUAUUGGUUUUCGGACCAAGAGACCGGCGCACGGGUGCGUAACGCGUAUGCAAUCUACCUUUUGCAGAGGGAUAGCCCCAGAGAAAUUUGGAUUAAUACCUCAUAGUAUAGUACUUUGGCAUCAAGGAACUAUUAAAGUCACAACGGCAAAAGAUGAGCAUGCGUCCCAUUAGCUAGUUGGUAAGGUAACGGCUUACCAAGGCUACGAUGGGUAGGGGUCCUGAGAGGGAGAUCCCCCACACUGGUACUGAGACACGGACCAGACUCCUACGGGAGGCAGCAGUGAGGAAUAUUGGACAAUGGGCGCAAGCCUGAUCCAGCCAUGCCGCGUGCAGGAUGAACGGUCCUAUGGAUUGUAAACUGCUUUUAUACAGGAAGAAACAUCCGACGUGCCGGAGC
RNAcentral lists this ribosomal RNA (440 nucleotides) under uncultured bacterium. Its description in RNAcentral is "bacterial SSU rRNA". It matches the Rfam family "Bacterial small subunit ribosomal RNA", at positions 28 to 469 of the family's 1533-position model. The record is from RNAcentral.